This 1714-nucleotide long non-coding RNA is filed under the name Elaeis guineensis (African oil palm). RNAcentral describes it as "long non-coding RNA (EGUI_LNC065822)". The record is from RNAcentral. Lineage: Eukaryota; Viridiplantae; Streptophyta; Magnoliopsida; Arecales; Arecaceae.
GCCUGUUAGUCCAACAGAUACACUACCAAGAAGCCAAAAGCAAUGAGAAGUUGAAGAAAAACUGGAUAUCAAGAGAUGUUCUUUGAAAGGAGUAGCUCCAAAAGUAGCAGUUCUGAUUCCUAGGAAGUAGGAACAGUUUUAGAUGUUACAUAUUGAUGGGAAAGCUUCUGACAAACACAUGUGCUUUGUUUCAAUGCUUGUCACGAUGAUUAAAUUCUGAACUAAAUUCCUUCCAUUCAGACAUAAUGGAGGAUAUUGAUUCAACUUCUAUAAACUCAUUCAUGUCAGGAACUUGCAGUGAUUCUUCCAAACGAAAAGGAUGAUCAAAUAUGAAUCCAUUUUAUUAGACUAAUAAAAUGACUGGCCUAAUCCAUUGAGUUCUUUCUUUCUCCCUCCUUUUGUUGCAUUUGAGGUUCAGUAUGAGGUACGAUCUUUGCAUUCAUCCAUUAGGAAACAAAUAGUAUUGACAUCUUAGCUAUCCAUCAAAUUGGUUCUUUAUUUCAUGAUCCUUAUGACUUCCACUUCAACAAACUACAUUAUUUCCUCACUUGAUAAAAAUUUCAAGUGUUAACACUAGUAUAAUGCUUCCCAAAUUGCUCAGUUAUUAUAAUGAUGGAACCAUAUCUUGUUUGAAGGAUAAAGAUAUAUUUCUACUAGAAAUCUACAAUUUGAUGGAAAUUUGAGCAACAGCCCAGAAUUUUAAAUUCUACCCGUCCUUUCUGUUCUAUUUUCUUUUUUCUUUGGCCUCAUGAUCUUCCACAUCAAUGAAUAGUUGAAUAAUACGAAAAGUUGUCUGACUACGGAAGAAGUGAAGUCCACUGUACAAAUUAAUCUAAAGGGAAAAAAAGCCUCAUGUAUCAACCUUCAACAAAACUUUUAAGCAAAAUGGUUUAACUUAUUUAAGAAGAUAAAGUUGCACCACCGAAGUUCAUAGGCCAUAAAGCAGCAAGUUGUUUAUAUAAAAAAAUGCUUGUACGCUGGUAAUGACCAUAAUGGAUAUUGAAUUGCAUAGAGUUUUCUAUGCCUUCAAGGAGUUAUGGGUAGAAAGAGAUUUCACAUUGAUUUAGCUCAUAAAACAUAAACUUUCAGGUAGUAAUAGCUCUGAUGGCCCUCAGCCAAGGUAUUAGAAUCAUGAAAAACAAUGUGUCAGAGUAUCUAAAACUUACAUGAGAGGUUAAAUAGAUGGUAAGGCAAACUCUUACUUCAAUAGAGACAAUAGAAUGAGAACAAGCAACUUCUAUGACUCUUCAGCCCUGAUCCUAGUUAAGAUGAAGUUGAUUUUAUAGUUAUGGUAAACAUAAUCAUGGCAAAAUUUAUUGAUCCUCCAAGUUUUGUCUUAUGAAAAUACUUCUCAAUGAAAAUUUUGCACUAACCGGAAAUAGAUUUUCAGAAAAGAGACAGAGGAAACAGUAUCAUCAGUCAAGUGGGUAUGGUGAAUAACUUAAAAAGUGAAUAGCCUUAUCCUCACUAACCGCUUUGAUACCUUAAUCUGAAACUAUAUCCUGAGAUGUGUAUUGGAUCCAUACCCAGGAAAAAGAAAAUAGCAUCUUAAAACUCUAGCAUGCAUUCUAAUCUGUGCUUACAAUAAGAUGAUAAGAGAAAGGAAUAAGAUUGCGAAGUAGGUUUUAUGGCUUCAGGAGGACAAAAGGAAUGAAAUCUAGAACUAGGGAAAAAAGGAAAAAAUAAAGAAAAGAUAAGAAGGUGGAGAUUAGUA